CAGAGGUCCCGAGCGUUGUUCGGAUUCACUGGGCGUAAAGGGUGCGUAGGUGGCAUGGAAAGUUUGAUGUGAAAGCUCAGGGCUUAACCCUGAAAUGGCAUUGAAUACUGCCGUGCUGGAGGUUUGAGGGGGACUGGAAUUCUUGGUGUAGCAGUGAAAUGCGUAGAUAUCAAGAGGAACACCAGUGGCGAAGGCGAGUCCCUGGACAACACCUGACACUGAGGCACGAAAGCUAGGGGAGCAAACAGGAUUAGAUACCCUGGUAGUCCUAGCCCUAAACGGUGCGUGUUUGCUGUAAAAGGAAUCGACCCCUUUUGUGGCGAAGCUAACGCGUUAAACACGCCGCCUGGGGAGUACGGUCGCAAGAUUA
Molecule: ribosomal RNA, 370 nt
Filed under: uncultured organism
Description: bacterial SSU rRNA
Rfam family: Bacterial small subunit ribosomal RNA
Source: RNAcentral